AAAUUACCUCACGCCAGUGGGGUAGAGUAGCUGGAAUGGGGGCCAGCUGCUCACUUUAAAAAAAGCGACC
This 70-nucleotide non-coding RNA is filed under the name Prosthecochloris aestuarii DSM 271. RNAcentral describes it as "Chlorobi-1 RNA". It matches the Rfam family "Chlorobi-1 RNA". The record is from Rfam by way of RNAcentral. Lineage: Bacteria; Pseudomonadati; Chlorobiota; Chlorobiia; Chlorobiales; Chlorobiaceae.